CAGUCGGACGGGAUCCAUCGGAGAGCUUGCUCGAAGAUGGUGAGAGUGGCGCACGGGGUGCGUAACGCGUGAGCAACCUACCUCUAUCAGGGGGAUAGCCUCUCGAAAGAGAGAUUAACACCGCAUAACAUAUCUGACCGGCAUCGGUUAGCUAUUAAAUAUUUAUAGGAUAGAGAUGGGCUCGCGUGACAUUAGCUAGUUGGUAGGGUAACGGCUUACCAAGGCGACGAUGUCUAGGGGCUCUGAGAGGAGAAUCCCCCACACUGGUACUGAGACACGGACCAGACUCCUACGGGAGGCAGCAGUAAGGAAUAUUGGUCAAUGGGCGGAAGCCUGAACCAGCCAUGCCGCGUGCAGGAUGACUGCCCUAUGGGUUGUAAACUGCUUUUGUCCAGGAAUAAACCUUUCUACGUGUAGGAAGCUGAAUGUACUGGAAGAAUAAGGAUCGGCUAACUCCGUGCCAGCAGCCGCGGUAAUACGGAGGAUCCGAGCGUUAUCCGGAUUUAUUGGGUUUAAAGGGUCCGUAGGCGGUUUAAUAAGUCAGUGGUGAAAUCUGGUCGCUCAACGAUCAAACGGCCAUUGAUACUGUUAGACUUGAAUUACUAGGAAGUAACUAGAAU
This 620-nucleotide ribosomal RNA is filed under the name uncultured Bacteroidota bacterium. RNAcentral's name for it is "bacterial SSU rRNA". It matches the Rfam family "Bacterial small subunit ribosomal RNA", at positions 59 to 667 of the family's 1533-position model. Lineage: Bacteria; Pseudomonadati; Bacteroidota. The record is from RNAcentral.